Molecule: ribosomal RNA, 497 nt
Filed under: uncultured bacterium
Lineage: Bacteria
Description: partial 16S ribosomal RNA
Rfam family: Bacterial small subunit ribosomal RNA
Source: RNAcentral
GAUGAACGCUGGCGGCGUGCCUAAUACAUGCAAGUCGAGCGAACGGACGAGAAGCUUGCUUCUCUGAUGUUAGCGGCGGACGGGUGAGUAACACGUGGAUAACCUACCUAUAAGACUGGGAUAACUUCGGGAAACCGGAGCUAAUACCGGAUAAUAUUAUGAACCGCAUGGUUCAAAAGUGAAAGACGGUCUUGCUGUCACUUAUAGAUGGAUCCGCGCUGCAUUAGCUAGUUGGUAAGGUAACGGCUUACCAAGGAAACGAUGCAUAGCCGACCUGAGAGGGUGAUCGGCCACACUGGAACUGAGACACGGUCCAGACUCCUACGGGAGGCAGCAGUAGGGAAUCUUCCGCAAUGGGCGAAAGCCUGACGGUGCAACGCCGCGUGAGUGAUGAAGGUCUUCGGAUCGUAAAACUCUGUUAUUAGGGAAGAACAUAUGUGUAAGUAACUGUGCACAUCUUGACGGUACCUAAUCAGAAAGCCACGGCUAACUACGUG